Long non-coding RNA from Pan troglodytes (chimpanzee), 2465 nucleotides. RefSeq lists it as uncharacterized. The record is from RefSeq and is a predicted model, not a curated record. NCBI's taxonomy places the organism in Eukaryota, Metazoa, Chordata, Mammalia, Primates, Hominidae. The transcript has 2 exons.
UGUCCCUUAGUAUUUAAAUGUUUUCUGCAUGCAGAUUUUAAAUGCUUCUUUAUCACUAAAUAUUUUAUUUUCUGUUGCUAUUGUAAAUAAGGUCUUCUCUAUUAUGUCUUCUGGUUGGUUAUUUUUAUAUACUAAAGCACCAGAUUUGUAUUGGUAUUUGGCAUUAAUUUCAUACCCAGGUGCUUGACUGAAUUCACUUAUUUAUUUAGAUUGUUAAAUUGAUUAGGGGUGGAAAUUCUAGUAUACAAUUAUAUCUAAAUAACAAUGAUUUUACCUUCUUUCCAAUGUUUAAACAUAUAUUUCUCUCAUUGAAUUUUUUUUUUUUAAGACAGAGUUUCACUCUUGUUGUGCAGCUGGAGUGCAAUGGCAGGCUGGAGUGCAAUGGCACCGUCUCAGCUCACUGCAACCUCCAACUCCCAGAUUCAAGCGGUUCUCCUGCCUCAGCCUCCCAAAUAGCUGGGAUUAUAGCAGGAUGGGCCGCAGGCAAAACCCCUCAGACACCGGCUGAAAGAGGGAAGAGGCUUUAUUUGGCUGGGAACCUUGGCAGACUUGCAUCUCAAGAACCAAGCUCCCUGAAGAAAAAAUUCCUGGCCCUUUUGAGAGGUGAAGCCAGCUGGACUUCCUGGGUUGAGUGGGGACUUGCAGAACUUUUCUGUCUAGCUAGAGGAUUGCAAACGCACCAGUCAGCACUCUGUGUCUAGCUAAAGGAUUGUAAACACACCAAUCAGCACUGUGUAAAAAUGCACCAAUCAGUGCUCUGUGUCUAGCUAAAGGACUAUAGACGCACCAAUCAGCACUCUGUAAAAAUGCACCAAUCAGCACUCUGUGUCUAGCUAAAGGAUUGUAAACACACCAAUCAGCACUCUAUAAAAGCGCACCAAUCAGCGCACUGUGUCUAGCUAAAGGAUUGUAAACGCACCAAUCAGCAUUCUGUGUCUAGCUAAAGGAUUGUAAACGCACCAAUCAGCACUCUGUAAAAAUGCACCAAUCAGCACUUGGCAUCUAGCUAAAGGAUUGUAAGUGCACCAAUCAGCACUCUGCAAAAACACAUCAAUCAGCACUCUGUGUCUAACUAAGGGAUUAAAUGCACCAAUCAGAACUCUGUAAAAAUGCACCAGUCAGCACUCUGUAAAAUGGACCAAUCAGCACUCUGUAAAAUGGACCGAUCAGCAGGACAUGGGUGGGGACAAAUAAGGGAAUAAAAGCUGGCCACCCCCAGCCAGCAGCAGCAACAUGCUCAGGUCCCUUUCCAUGCUGUGGAAGCUUUGUUCUUUCGCUUUUCACAAUAAAUCUUGCUGCUGCUGACUCUUUGGGUCCACACCACCUUUAAGAGUUGUAACACUCGCUGUGAAGGUCCGCAGCUUCAUUCUUGAAGUCAGUGAGACCAAGAACCCACCAGAGGGAACCAAGUCUGGACACACUUUUAAGGGCUUACAACUCUAUGGGGGUCUACGUGAAAGAUAUCCAGCAAGUGAUCUAUAGGUAAUACACAUAGUUAGAGUGGGGGGUUAAUCUUUAACCUCAGGCCUGGUCAGUGGCGCCGGUUGGUCUUGCCGCUGACUUCAUUUCUGUUGUUUUUCAGCUUUUACUUCCUCCUUCUCUUCAGGGACAGGAAACAGUAAGAGAAAUGGCGUAUCUCCUCAGCUUAAGAUAGUACUUGCCAGGCACAGUGGCUCACACCUGUAAUCCCAGCACUUUGGGAGGCUGAGGUGGGUGGAUCAUGAGGACAGGAGUUCAAGACCAUCCCCACCAACAUGGUGAAAACCCCGUCUCCACUAAAAAUACAAAGAUUAGGUGGGCGUGGUGGUGCGCGCAUGUAAUCCCAGCUACUCAGGAGGCUGAGGCAGGAGAAUUGCUUGAACCUGGGAGGUGAAGGUUGGAGAACUGCUUGAACCUGGGAGGCGAAGGUUGUAGUGAGCCAAGAUCGCGGCAUUGCGCUCUAGCCUGGGCGACAGAGCAAGACUCCAUCCCCCAAAAAAAAAAAAGUGCUUAUCUUGUCCAUAACUUAGCAGGAGUGUUUCAAUAUUAUAUCCAUGCUGUUUCCAUAUUAAACAGAUUCUUUGUGGUUGAGAUAAAUAUAUUUCAUUAUGCUAACCAAGUAUUUGUAUACUUCUGUUAAGAACUUACAUCAAGUAUGAAUAUGGAAUUUUUCUUUUUUUAUAUGGAAUUUUUCCAAUGUCUUUGAUAGCUUUUUUAGACAUGAGUACAGUUAUGUGCUGCAUGAUGAUGUUUUGGUAACAAUGGACCAUGUAUACCGUGGUGGUCCCAUAAGAUUAUAAUGGAGCUGAAAAACUCCUAUCACCUAGUGCUAUCGUAGCCAUCAUAACGCAAUGCAUUACUCACGUGUUUGUGAAGAUGUUGGUGUAAAGAAACCUACAGAACUGCCAGUCAUCUAAAAGUAUAGCACAUACAAUCAUGUACAGCACAUAAUGAAGGGCUUGAUAAUAAAGGGAUAUGUUAUUGGC